GACAGAUAGAGAUGCGUUCGUUGUUUUUCUGGUGUUGGUUAGUGUGGUUAAACUACCGAAGCUACUCCCAAGAAUAUAGCUAGUAACAACAAAACAACAUCACCCAAGAGGCAAAAAUAGCCAGUUAAGAUAUGAAAUCCUUAGAUACUGGUUGGAAUAUCAAUAGGCUAUAGCAUGGCUCUAAAACCAACUAUUAACACUAAUAUUCACGUAGAUCCACUAAAGUGUAGGUAGCAAAUCAG
This 242-nucleotide ribosomal RNA is filed under the name uncultured bacterium. Its description in RNAcentral is "partial 16S ribosomal RNA". The record is from RNAcentral.